Molecule: unclassified non-coding RNA, 336 nt
Filed under: soil metagenome
Description: partial contains 5.8S ribosomal RNA, internal transcribed spacer 2, and large subunit ribosomal RNA
Rfam family: 5.8S ribosomal RNA (bases 1-120)
Source: RNAcentral
GAUGAAGAACGUAGCGAAAUGUGAUAAGUAGUGUGAAUUGCAGAAUUCAGUGAAUCAUCGAAUCUUUGAACGCACAUUGCGCCCCUUGGUAUUACAUGGGGCAUGCCUGUUAGAGCGUCAUUUGUACCUUCAAGCUUUGCUUGGUGUUGGGUGUUUGUCUCGCCUUUGCGUGUAGACUCGCCUUAAAAUAAUUGGCAGCCGGCGUAUUGAUUUCGGAGCGCAGUACAUCUCGCGCUUUGCACUCAUAACGACAGCGUCCAAAAGUACAUUUUACACUCUUGACCUCGGAUCAGGUAGGGAUACCCGCUGAACUUAAGCAUAUCAAUAAGCGGAGGA